Molecule: ribosomal RNA, 1831 nt
Filed under: Escherichia coli
Lineage: Bacteria; Pseudomonadati; Pseudomonadota; Gammaproteobacteria; Enterobacterales; Enterobacteriaceae
Description: partial 23S ribosomal RNA
Rfam family: Bacterial large subunit ribosomal RNA
Source: RNAcentral
GUUAAGCGACUAAGCGUACACGGUGGAUGCCCUGGCAGUCAGAGGCGAUGAAGGACGUGCUAAUCUGCGAUAAGCGUCGGUAAGGUGAUAUGAACCGUUAUAACCGGCGAUUUCCGAAUGGGGAAACCCAGUGUGUUUCGACACACUAUCAUUAACUGAAUCCAUAGGUUAAUGAGGCGAACCGGGGGAACUGAAACAUCUAAGUACCCCGAGGAAAAGAAAUCAACCGAGAUUCCCCCAGUAGCGGCGAGCGAACGGGGAGCAGCCCAGAGCCUGAAUCAGUGUGUGUGUUAGUGGAAGCGUCUGGAAAGGCGCGCGAUACAGGGUGACAGCCCCGUACACAAAAAUGCACAUGCUGUGAGCUCGAUGAGUAGGGCGGGACACGUGGUAUCCUGUCUGAAUAUGGGGGGACCAUCCUCCAAGGCUAAAUACUCCUGACUGACCGAUAGUGAACCAGUACCGUGAGGGAAAGGCGAAAAGAACCCCGGCGAGGGGAGUGAAAAAGAACCUGAAACCGUGUACGUACAAGCAGUGGGAGCACGCUUAGGCGUGUGACUGCGUACCUUUUGUAUAAUGGGUCAGCGACUUAUAUUCUGUAGCAAGGUUAACCGAAUAGGGGAGCCGAAGGGAAACCGAGUCUUAACUGGGCGUUAAGUUGCAGGGUAUAGACCCGAAACCCGGUGAUCUAGCCAUGGGCAGGUUGAAGGUUGGGUAACACUAACUGGAGGACCGAACCGACUAAUGUUGAAAAAUUAGCGGAUGACUUGUGGCUGGGGGUGAAAGGCCAAUCAAACCGGGAGAUAGCUGGUUCUCCCCGAAAGCUAUUUAGGUAGCGCCUCGUGAAUUCAUCUCCGGGGGUAGAGCACUGUUUCGGCAAGGGGGUCAUCCCGACUUACCAACCCGAUGCAAACUGCGAAUACCGGAGAAUGUUAUCACGGGAGACACACGGCGGGUGCUAACGUCCGUCGUGAAGAGGGAAACAACCCAGACCGCCAGCUAAGGUCCCAAAGUCAUGGUUAAGUGGGAAACGAUGUGGGAAGGCCCAGACAGCCAGGAUGUUGGCUUAGAAGCAGCCAUCAUUUAAAGAAAGCGUAAUAGCUCACUGGUCGAGUCGGCCUGCGCGGAAGAUGUAACGGGGCUAAACCAUGCACCGAAGCUGCGGCAGCGACGCUGAUGCGUUGUUGGGUAGGGGAGCGUUCUGUAAGCCUGCGAAGGUGUGCUGUGAGGCAUGCUGGAGGUAUCAGAAGUGCGAAUGCUGACAUAAGUAACGAUAAAGCGGGUGAAAAGCCCGCUCGCCGGAAGACCAAGGGUUCCUGUCCAACGUUAAUCGGGGCAGGGUGAGUCGACCCCUAAGGCGAGGCCGAAAGGCGUAGUCGAUGGGAAACAGGUUAAUAUUCCUGUACUUGGUGUUACUGCGAAGGGGGGACGGAGAAGGCUAUGUUGGCCGGGCGACGGUUGUCCCGGUUUAAGCGUGUAGGCUGGUUUUCCAGGCAAAUCCGGAAAAUCAAGGCUGAGGCGUGAUGACGAGGCACUACGGUGCUGAAGCAACAAAUGCCCUGCUUCCAGGAAAAGCCUCUAAGCAUCAGGUAACAUCAAAUCGUACCCCAAACCGACACAGGUGGUCAGGUAGAGAAUACCAAGGCGCUUGAGAGAACUCGGGUGAAGGAACUAGGCAAAAUGGUGCCGUAACUUCGGGAGAAGGCACGCUGAUAUGUAGGUGAAGUCCCUCGCGGAUGGAGCUGAAAUCAGUCGAAGAUACCAGCUGGCUGCAACUGUUUAUUAAAAACACAGCACUGUGCAAACACGAAAGUGGACGUAUACGGUGUGACGC